CCUACGGGAGUCUGCAGUGAGGAAUAUUGGUCAAUGGGCGCAAGCCUGAACCAGCCAAGUCGCGUGAGGGAUGACGGUCCUAUGGAUUGUACACCUCUUUUGUCGGGGAGCAAGGCCCGCCACGUGUGGCGGGAAGGAGAGUACCCGUAGCAAAAGCCUCGGCUAACUCCGUGCCAGCAGCCGCGGUAAUACGGAGGAUGCGAGCGUUCUCCGGAUUUACUGGGUGUAACGGGCGCGUAGGCGGGAUAGCAAGUCAGUCGUGAAAUGCCGAGGCUUAACCUCGGGGCUGCGCUUGAAACUGUUAUUCUUGAGUAUCGGAGAGGAAAGCGGAAUUCCUGGUGUAGCGGUGAAAUGCGUAGAUAUUAGGAGGAACACCAGUGGCGAAGGCGGCUUUCUGGACGACAACUGACGCUGAGGCGCGAAAGUGUGGGGAGCAAACAGGAUUAGAGACCCUGGUAGUC
RNAcentral lists this ribosomal RNA (461 nucleotides) under uncultured bacterium. RNAcentral describes it as "partial 16S ribosomal RNA". It matches the Rfam family "Bacterial small subunit ribosomal RNA", at positions 338 to 795 of the family's 1533-position model. The record is from RNAcentral.